Molecule: long non-coding RNA, 328 nt
Organism: Myotis brandtii (Brandt's bat)
Lineage: Eukaryota; Metazoa; Chordata; Mammalia; Chiroptera; Vespertilionidae
Exons: 2
Source: RefSeq, a predicted model, not a curated record
ACUGUGGUGCAAGAUUUCUUCAUCGACCUGCAGCUGCCCUACUCUGUGGUUCGUAAUGAACACGUGGAGAUCCGAGCUGUCCUCUACAACUACCAGGAAGCAGAUACGCUCACGGUGAGAGUAGAAUUGCUCUACAAUCCAGCCUUCUGCAGCUUGGCCACUGCCAAGAAGCGUCACCUGCAGACUGUAUCCAUCCCUCCCAAGUCCUCGCUGGCCGUGCCUUAUGUCAUUGUGCCUCUGACAGUCGGCUUGCAGGAGGUAGAGGUCAAGGCCACUGUCUAUCGGUACUUCAUCACCGACGGUGUAAGGAAGACCCUGAAGGUCGUGG